Molecule: ribosomal RNA, 465 nt
Filed under: Vreelandella stevensii
Lineage: Bacteria; Pseudomonadati; Pseudomonadota; Gammaproteobacteria; Oceanospirillales; Halomonadaceae
Description: partial 16S ribosomal RNA
Rfam family: Bacterial small subunit ribosomal RNA
Source: RNAcentral
CCUACGGGGGGCUGCAGUGGGGAAUAUUGGACAAUGGGGGCAACCCUGAUCCAGCCAUGCCGCGUGUGUGAAGAAGGCCCUCGGGUUGUAAAGCACUUUCAGUGAGGAAGAACGCCUGGUGGUUAAUACCCAUCAGGAAAGACAUCACUCACAGAAGAAGCACCGGCUAACUCCGUGCCAGCAGCCGCGGUAAUACGGAGGGUGCGAGCGUUAAUCGGAAUUACUGGGCGUAAAGCGCGCGUAGGUGGCUUGAUAAGCCGGUUGUGAAAGCCCCGGGCUCAACCUGGGAACGGCAUCCGGAACUGUCAAGCUAGAGUGCAGGAGAGGAAGGUAGAUUUCCCGGUGUAGCGGUGAAAUGCGUAGAGAUCGGGAGGAAUACCAGUGGCGAAGGCGGCCUUCUGGACUGACACUGACACUGAGGUGCGAAAGCGUGGGUAGCAAACAGGAUUAGAUACCCUAGUAGUC